CGCAGGACGGGGCCUGGGAGGUGGGCCCAUGGGCUCCAGAGGGGCUGGACCACAGCAAGAAGAACGAGGCCAACCUCCAUGGGUAGCGCAGACCGGCUCAGGCCCUGCCCUUCCCGCCGGGGUCCCCUGUGACAGGACGCAAGGGCACAGCUGCGGAGCAGGGUGGGCUGUUAGAGCUGGGCAGAGGCCACAGUGGCCAGAGGGCUGGUGAGAGUGGCUCUCCUGCUGCCCUAGCCACUGGCUGAAGAUCUGCCUGGGGAGGAGUGGGUUUGGGCGGCCGGGCCUAGGACCCCUUCAUAGCUACCACUAAUACUCAUUCUCUGCUCCUGAGAAACCUCCUCCAGGGGCCUCUGGGGUCUUGGAGAUGAGACAGAGGGACCUCAGGCAGGACAGACAAGAGACCCUGGUCUCGGGUGUCCACAGAGCGGGAGCCAGGCAGGCUGGGCGGAAGUCCUAGGCUUGGACCCUGUUACGGGACUUUCCCUGUCAGAAUGGGCUCAGGAGGGAGUGAGUGCGUGGUCCUCAGGUGUGCAAGUGCCAAGGCUGGAGCCCACCCCCUGGGAAGCAGGGCCAGGGUGGCUGGGGCGGACUUGAUCCCUGUGGGCCGACAGGGGGUGAGGAGGCAGUCUGGGGACCUGAGAGAAGGCCGAGUGGCUGUGGGGUGGGUGACCUGGGGCCCUGACUCUGCCUUACCCUUGGCCAUGGGGCCACAUUCAUGCUCGGCCCCCGCCCAGCCUGGGCUGGGAAGGCAUCAGCCUGGCCAUGAGGCAAGGGGCCGGCCAUGCCUGGGGCCAGAGGGGGUCCCCCAGCCGUGCCCAGUCCUGAGCUGGCAGUGUCUCCAGCCUUUGCAGCGUGGCCCUGUCUGCCUCUGUGUGUGUCUGGGCUCCUCUCAUUUGGCCGCCCUGCCCGUCUACACUGGUGCCCCCCCACCUGCACUGUCCACCGGGCCAGGCUCUGUCUCUGCCACCUGUUGGGUGCUUGCCAGACUCCGCCAUCCUCUCCGCUCCCAGCUUGCGGCUUCUGCCUCCAGCUCCCUACCAGGAAGAAAAAGGGCCAGGCCAUGCCGGACCAGGACUGGGCACAGCCUCCAGCACUCCAGGUGGACAGGCUGAGAAGCGCGGCGAGCGAGGCAGCCUGGGAGCAGGCAGCCGCAUGAGGACCAGCGCCUGCUCACCGCUGUGUCCCUCCUACGUGCGGGGCAGGCACCCAGCAGCAGGUGUUCGGUGCCCACUGGGAGCGUGCCUGGGCCCCUGCUCCUGCUCCUCAGAGGGAACAAACAACUGACCUGCUGAUGGAGGCUGUGAACCCACACGGGUUGUCUGCAGACGUAACGGGGCAUCUCCUAUGACGCUUCUGGAGAGGGCAAGGCUCCACGGCUGAGGGCUUUCUUUGGGUGACAACCAUGUGAAAUGCCAUGACCUUGUGCCACCCCGUGGCAGAUGACUCUCUCAGAAGGUGGUGCGUACCCUUUCCCCAUUAUGGUGUGGACACGAACUCCAGAACUGUGAGAGGCGAUGGUUCCACGACUUCCUGGCUGUAGUCACUGCUGUUGGGCAGCUGUGGGUGACCCUGAAGGGACACUCUGAUAAGGGACAUCUGCCUGCAUGUGUGACCUGAGUCCC
This 1622-nucleotide long non-coding RNA is filed under the name Homo sapiens (human). RNAcentral describes it as "long non-coding RNA NONHSAT160016.1". The record is from RNAcentral. Lineage: Eukaryota; Metazoa; Chordata; Mammalia; Primates; Hominidae.